GGAUGUGAGGGCAAUCUGGAUGUGACAUCUGUCACUGUGUUGAUCAGCAGGGUUAAUCUGGCUAUCUAGACUGGUGUUCUCUUAUACCCUUACUCCUCCAUGGACAUCCCUUCCAGGGCUGCACGCUUGGUUGAAGAGGAAGACCUUCCCCAAACACAAGAGGACUGGUCUUCAGUCAAGGGUGUUCAAGUAGGUGUGGUCCCCCUGCUAGACACUUCAAACAAGUUUUCAAUUAUUUUGGUAUUGGCUGCUUUUCUUGUUGCCAUAACAAAAUACCUGACAAAAGCAACUUAAGGAAGGGUUUGUUUUCACC
Molecule: small nuclear RNA, 313 nt
Filed under: Jaculus jaculus (lesser Egyptian jerboa)
Lineage: Eukaryota; Metazoa; Chordata; Mammalia; Rodentia; Dipodidae
Description: 7SK RNA (ENSJJAG00000004444.1)
Rfam family: 7SK RNA
About the family: 7SK was discovered as an abundant small nuclear RNA in the mid-70s but a possible function has only recently been suggested.
Source: Rfam by way of RNAcentral